This 125-nucleotide small RNA is filed under the name Marmota monax (woodchuck). The record is from RNAcentral. Lineage: Eukaryota; Metazoa; Chordata; Mammalia; Rodentia; Sciuridae.
GCCAGGUGUGGUGGCACACACCUGUAAUCCCAGUGGCUCAGGAGGCUAAGGCAUGAGGAUCGCGAGUUCAAAACCAGCCUCAGCAAACGCAAGGUGCUAAGCAACUCAGUGAGACCCUGUCUCUA